UGUUCCCAUGCACGGGAGAGACCAGGUGGA
Molecule: non-coding RNA, 30 nt
Filed under: Homo sapiens (human)
Lineage: Eukaryota; Metazoa; Chordata; Mammalia; Primates; Hominidae
Source: RNAcentral